Molecule: long non-coding RNA, 927 nt
Filed under: Nicotiana benthamiana
Lineage: Eukaryota; Viridiplantae; Streptophyta; Magnoliopsida; Solanales; Solanaceae
Description: long non-coding RNA (NBEN_LNC025961)
Source: RNAcentral
GAAGUUGUAUGCUUUGGCAAACAAGAAAAAAUUAGAGUUAUUGAAGAGUGACAAAAUAAGGCUUAGGUAUAAAUGUGGUAUAUUUGGUUGUCCCUUUUUGUGUUUGAUAUCCAAAGAGAGGAAUGAUGGGGUUAUAUCAAGACCUUACAUGGAUAUGUGAUAUAUUUGAUUGUACCUUUUUGUGUUUGAUAUCCAAAGAGAGGAAUGGUGGGGUUAAGAUCAAGACAUUACCUGCAGAACAUAGUUGUGGUGUUGCCUUUGAUAACAAUACUGUUGAUUUCAGUACUAUUGCACAAUAUUUCAAGCUUAAAUUACAAGAUAAUCUUAAGUAUAAGGUAAAGGAGAUGAUGGCAUAUUUGAAGAGGGUUUUUGAACUAAAUAUUAGUCAUGGAAAGUGUAACAGAGAAAAGAGAAUGGUCUUGAAAAGCUUAGAUGAUAGUUUCAAUGAUGAGUAUAACAAAUUAGAAACUUAUGCAACUGAAUUGAGAGAUAGUAAUCGAGGAAGUGAUGUGGUUAUAAAAUUUUCAAAGAAUUCACUUGAAGAAGGGAGAAGAAGAUUCUUAAGGACGUAUAUUUGCAUUCAAGCUUUAAAGAUGGGUUUCAAGCUAGGGUUGAGACAUUUUAUUGGUCUAGAUGGAACUUUCUUAAAGGGGAAAGCUAAUGGCAAACUACUAGUUGCUGCUGGACAAGAUUAACAGAUGCAGCAGCUGGUUUAUUGAAGUACCCUCCUCAGACUUGGUGCAGAGCUUACCUGGACACAGUUUGCAAGAAUCAGUAAGUUGAUAACAAGUUGACUGAAUCCUUCAACAAGUGGAUUUUGGAAGCAAGGCAUAAGCCAACAAUAAAGAUGUUGGAGGACAUUAGAAUCAAAGUGAUGAACAUGUUAAGAGAACAUGAAGAUGAAGUGAGGGGUUGGAGACAUGACUU